GCGGGCGUGGCGGAAUUGGCAGACGCGCUGGAUUUAGGUUCCAGUUUCUUUACGGAAGUGUGGGUUCAAGUCCCUCCGCCCGCACCA
RNAcentral lists this transfer RNA (87 nucleotides) under Rhodospirillaceae bacterium. Its description in RNAcentral is "tRNA-Leu". It matches the Rfam family "tRNA". From Rfam's summary of the family: Transfer RNA (tRNA) molecules are approximately 80 nucleotides in length. Lineage: Bacteria; Pseudomonadati; Pseudomonadota; Alphaproteobacteria; Rhodospirillales; Rhodospirillaceae. The record is from RNAcentral.